RNAcentral lists this ribosomal RNA (500 nucleotides) under Enterobacteriaceae bacterium HGH0161. RNAcentral's name for it is "bacterial SSU rRNA". It matches the Rfam family "Bacterial small subunit ribosomal RNA", at positions 74 to 573 of the family's 1533-position model. Lineage: Bacteria; Pseudomonadati; Pseudomonadota; Gammaproteobacteria; Enterobacterales; Enterobacteriaceae. The record is from RNAcentral.
UUGCUGCUUUGCUGACGAGUGGCGGACGGGUGAGUAAUGUCUGGGAAACUGCCUGAUGGAGGGGGAUAACUACUGGAAACGGUAGCUAAUACCGCAUAACGUCGCAAGACCAAAGAGGGGGACCUUAGGGCCUCUUGCCAUCGGAUGUGCCCAGAUGGGAUUAGCUAGUAGGUGGGGUAACGGCUCACCUAGGCGACGAUCCCUAGCUGGUCUGAGAGGAUGACCAGCCACACUGGAACUGAGACACGGUCCAGACUCCUACGGGAGGCAGCAGUGGGGAAUAUUGCACAAUGGGCGCAAGCCUGAUGCAGCCAUGCCGCGUGUAUGAAGAAGGCCUUCGGGUUGUAAAGUACUUUCAGCGGGGAGGAAGGGAGUAAAGUUAAUACCUUUGCUCAUUGACGUUACCCGCAGAAGAAGCACCGGCUAACUCCGUGCCAGCAGCCGCGGUAAUACGGAGGGUGCAAGCGUUAAUCGGAAUUACUGGGCGUAAAGCGCACGCA